Molecule: long non-coding RNA, 439 nt
Filed under: Panax ginseng (ginseng)
Lineage: Eukaryota; Viridiplantae; Streptophyta; Magnoliopsida; Apiales; Araliaceae
Description: long non-coding RNA (PGIN_LNC017816)
Source: RNAcentral
CACAUGAUUUCAGGGAAAUUCCAGAAAUACCUUUUAGUCAUUAGAAUAAUGCUCAUAUUGCCCUGUCCUUCUAGCCACCAAUCCAAUCCCUCAAUCAAUUCCCAAAACGAGCCGCCUCCACGAGUCUUCUGCCUCGGGACACGUGGAGGCUUAUCCCGGGUCUAGCACAUUUAUUUCUGACUUUUCCAUCUUCAUUCUAUUAGGUUAUGCGAACCCUAAUUUGCACAUUUAAUGAGGUCGUGGAACCCUAAUUGUGCAUUUAAUUCAAUUAGGUCAUGUGAACCCUAAUUUUGCACUUGGGCCCACAAGGUGAUUACCUAUGGACAAGUUUCUAUCAAAAUUACGGAAGGAAGGUACACGAGCUACCGAAUUAAAGACCUUGUCCAGCACUAUCUCCUCACAAUUGCCUAACCGGUCCAUCUUAAAAAUAACCUGCCCA